RNAcentral lists this ribosomal RNA (446 nucleotides) under uncultured bacterium. Its description in RNAcentral is "partial 16S ribosomal RNA". It matches the Rfam family "Bacterial small subunit ribosomal RNA", at positions 338 to 795 of the family's 1533-position model. The record is from RNAcentral.
CCUACGGGAUGCAGCAGUCGAGAAUCAUUCACAAUGGGGGAAACCCUGAUGGUGCGACGCCGCGUGGGGGAAUGAAGGUCUUCGGAUUGUAAACCCCUGUCAUGUGGGAGCAAAUUAAAAAGAUAGUACCACAAGAGGAAGAGACGGCUAACUCUGUGCCAGCAGCCGCGGGAAUACAGAGGUCUCAAGCGUUGUUCGGAAUCACUGGGCGUAAAGCGUGCGUAGGCUGUUUCGUAAGUCGUGUGUGAAAGGCGCGGGCUCAACCCGCGGACGGCACAUGAUACUGCGAGACUAGAGUAAUGGAGGGGGAACCGGAAUUCUCGGUGUAGCAGUGAAAUGCGUAGAUAUCGAGAGGAACACUCGUGGCGAAGGCGGGUUCCUGAACAUUAACUGACGCUGAGGCACGAAGGACAGGGGAGCGAAAGGGAUUAGAUACCCCAGUAGUC